AGAGUUUGAUCCUGGCUCAGGAUGAACGCUAGCGGCAGGCUUAAUACAUGCAAGUCGAGGGGCAGCAUGAGUGUAGCAAUACAUUCGAUGGCGACCGGCAAACGGGUGCGGAACACGUACAGAACCUUCCUUCGAGCGGGGAAUAGCCCAGAGAAAUUUGGAUUAAUACCCCAUAGUAUUACGGAGUGGCAUCACUUUGUAAUUAAAGAUUUAUCACUUGAAGAUGGCUGUGCGGCUGAUUAGGUAGUUGGCGGGGUAACGGCCCACCAAGCCUACGAUCAGUAACUGGUGUGAGAGCACGACCAGUCACACGGGCACUGAGACACGGGCCCGACUCCUACGGGAGGCAGCAGUAAGGAAUAUUGGUCAAUGGACGAAAGUCUGAACCAGCCAUGCCGCGUGGAGGAUGAAGGUCCUCUGGAUUGUAAACUUCUUUUAUAUGGGACGAAAAAAGGCUUUUCUAAGUCGUCUGACGGUACCAUAUGAAUAAGCACCGGCUAACUCCGUGCCAGCAGCCGCGGUAAUACGGAGGGUGCAAGCGUUAUCCGGAUUCACUGGGUUUAAAGGGUGCGUAGGUGGGUUGGUAAGUCAGUGGUGAAAUCCCCAAGCUUAACUUGGGAACUGCCAUUGAUACUAUCAGUCUUGAAUACCGUGGAGGUCAGCGGAAUAUGUCAUGUAGCGGUGAAAUGCUUAGAUAUGACAUAGAACACCAAUUGCGAAGGCAGCUGGCUACACGAAUAUUGACACUGAGGCACGAAAGCGUGGGGAUCAAACAGGAUUAGAUACCCUGGUAGUCCACG
Molecule: ribosomal RNA, 800 nt
Filed under: uncultured bacterium
Lineage: Bacteria
Description: bacterial SSU rRNA
Rfam family: Bacterial small subunit ribosomal RNA
Source: RNAcentral